CAGUCGCCACGGUAAUACGGAGGGGGCUAGCGUUGUUCGGAAUUACUGGGCGUAAAGCGCACGUAGGCGGCUUGGUAAGUUAGAGGUGAAAGCCCGGAGCUCAACUCCGGAAUUGCCUUUAAGACUGCCGAGCUAGUAGGUGAGAGAGGUAAGUGGAAUUCCGAGUGUAGAGGUGAAAUUCGUAGAUAUUCGGAAGAACACCAGUGGCGAAGGCGACUGACUGGACAAGUAUUGACGCUGAGGUGCGAAAGCGUGGGGAGCAAACAGGAUUAGAUACCCCUGUAGUCCCUGUCUCUUAUAC
This 301-nucleotide ribosomal RNA is filed under the name uncultured bacterium. Its description in RNAcentral is "partial 16S ribosomal RNA". It matches the Rfam family "Bacterial small subunit ribosomal RNA", at positions 509 to 807 of the family's 1533-position model. The record is from RNAcentral.